Molecule: long non-coding RNA, 337 nt
Organism: Mus musculus (house mouse)
Lineage: Eukaryota; Metazoa; Chordata; Mammalia; Rodentia; Muridae
Product: RIKEN cDNA 4930522P08 gene
Exons: 2
Source: RefSeq, marked validated
AUGUUGGGUCCUGGCGAGAAUAGUCGUUCUGUCUGGAGCCGCUUCCGGGUGGAGCUUAACACAUGAGUGAUAGCAGCUCCUGCGGGAGCCUUCUCCGCUGCCUUCGCGGCGGGGACAGGUUUUUGUGUAAUUGAGGCGUUGUGCUGUCACCGCAACAGGCGGACCGCGGUGUACCACAUGAAUGCUGUGCUCAUAGAGACCAGAAGAGUGUGCUGAUAUGGAAAUGCAGUUACUGAUGACUGUGGAUACUGAGAAUUGAACCACUUCCUCUUCCAAAAGCAGCCUCUUAACCUCUGAGCCAUCUCAGCAACCCUAAAAAUAUUUAUUUUUUAUGUGU